UCCCGUGUGGCUCAGUUGGUAGAGCAUGGUGUUUGCAACGCCAUGGUUGUGGUUUCGAUUCCCACAGGGGAC
RNAcentral lists this transfer RNA (72 nucleotides) under Salmo salar (Atlantic salmon). It matches the Rfam family "tRNA". From Rfam's summary of the family: Transfer RNA (tRNA) molecules are approximately 80 nucleotides in length. Lineage: Eukaryota; Metazoa; Chordata; Actinopteri; Salmoniformes; Salmonidae. The record is from Rfam by way of RNAcentral.